GAUGAAGAACGUAGCGAAAUGCGAUAAGUAAUGUGAAUUGCAGAAUUCAGUGAAUCAUCGAAUCUUUGAACGCACAUUGCGCCCUCUGGUAUUCCGGGGGGCAUGCCUGUUCGAGCGUCAUUAUAACCACUCAAGCUCUCGCUUGGUAUUGGGGCUCGCGGUUCCGCGGCCCCUAAAAUCAGUGGCGGUGCCUGUCGGCUCUACGCGUAGUAAUACUCCUCGCGAUUGAGUCCGGUAGGUCUACUUGCCAGCAACCCCCAAUUUUUACAGGUUGACCUCGGAUCAGGUAGGGAUACCCGCUGAACUUAAGCAUAUUCAAUAAGCGGAGGA
Molecule: unclassified non-coding RNA, 330 nt
Filed under: soil metagenome
Description: partial contains 5.8S ribosomal RNA, internal transcribed spacer 2, and large subunit ribosomal RNA
Rfam family: 5.8S ribosomal RNA (bases 1-120)
Source: RNAcentral